UACGAAGGGGGCUAGCGUUGUUCGGAUUUACUGGGCGUAAAGCGCGUGUAGGCGGGUCGUUAAGUUGGGGGUGAAAUCCCGAGGCUCAACCUCGGAACUGCCUUCAAAACUGGCGACCUGGAGCAAAGAAGAGGCGAGUGGAAUUGCGAGUGUAGAGGUGAAAUUCGUAGAUAUUCGCAGGAACACCGGUGGCGAAGGCGGCAUCCUGGACCGAGACUGACGCUGAGGAGCGAAAGCGUGGGGAGCGAACAGG
RNAcentral lists this ribosomal RNA (253 nucleotides) under uncultured bacterium. Its description in RNAcentral is "partial 16S ribosomal RNA". It matches the Rfam family "Bacterial small subunit ribosomal RNA", at positions 524 to 776 of the family's 1533-position model. The record is from RNAcentral.